GGCUGGUCCGAAAGUGGUGAGUUAUCUCACUUGAUUGUUCACUGUCAGCUACAGAUUCAACUCCUUGUUCUACUACUUUGCCACCUGCUCACUACUGCACUUGACUAGUCUUAA
Molecule: unclassified non-coding RNA, 114 nt
Organism: Microcebus murinus (gray mouse lemur)
Lineage: Eukaryota; Metazoa; Chordata; Mammalia; Primates; Cheirogaleidae
Rfam family: Y RNA
About the family: Y RNAs are components of the Ro ribonucleoprotein particle (Ro RNP), in association with Ro60 and La proteins. The Y RNAs and Ro60 and La proteins are well conserved, but the function of the Ro RNP is not known.
Source: Ensembl